Molecule: long non-coding RNA, 218 nt
Filed under: Physcomitrium patens
Lineage: Eukaryota; Viridiplantae; Streptophyta; Bryopsida; Funariales; Funariaceae
Description: long non-coding RNA (PPAT_LNC014970)
Source: RNAcentral
UAUACUAUCUAACUAGAGGCUAUGUGGCGACAUUCUAUAGGACCUCCAAUAAGUGUUGACUUUGUAGGACACAUGCCUUGACUUACAAGGCAAGUUAUUCUAUGUGUAGGCCACAAUGUAAGCUUGGUCUUCAAGCUAACAUGUGUGGCACAUGGCCAACUUAUUGACCAUGUUUUUAAUCCAAAAAGUCAAUUAAAGACACCUAUAAAAUCAAAGCA